This 1483-nucleotide ribosomal RNA is filed under the name Enterococcus sp. RNAcentral describes it as "bacterial SSU rRNA". It matches the Rfam family "Bacterial small subunit ribosomal RNA". The record is from RNAcentral. Lineage: Bacteria; Bacillati; Bacillota; Bacilli; Lactobacillales; Enterococcaceae.
GACGAACGCUGGCGGCGUGCCUAAUACAUGCAAGUCGAACGCUUCUUUUUCCACCGGAGCUUGCUCCACCGGAAAAAGAGGAGUGGCGAACGGGUGAGUAACACGUGGGUAACCUGCCCAUCAGAAGGGGAUAACACUUGGAAACAGGUGCUAAUACCGUAUAACAAUCGAAACCGCAUGGUUUUGAUUUGAAAGGCGCUUUCGGGUGUCGCUGAUGGAUGGACCCGCGGUGCAUUAGCUAGUUGGUGAGGUAACGGCUCACCAAGGCGACGAUGCAUAGCCGACCUGAGAGGGUGAUCGGCCACAUUGGGACUGAGACACGGCCCAAACUCCUACGGGAGGCAGCAGUAGGGAAUCUUCGGCAAUGGACGAAAGUCUGACCGAGCAACGCCGCGUGAGUGAAGAAGGUUUUCGGAUCGUAAAACUCUGUUGUUAGAGAAGAACAAGGAUGAGAGUAACUGUUCAUCCCUUGACGGUAUCUAACCAGAAAGCCACGGCUAACUACGUGCCAGCAGCCGCGGUAAUACGUAGGUGGCAAGCGUUGUCCGGAUUUAUUGGGCGUAAAGCGAGCGCAGGCGGUUUCUUAAGUCUGAUGUGAAAGCCCCCGGCUCAACCGGGGAGGGUCAUUGGAAACUGGGAGACUUGAGUGCAGAAGAGGGAGAGUGGAAUUCCAUGUGUAGCGGUGAAAUGCGUAGAUAUAUGGAGGAACACCAGUGGCGAAGGCGGCUCUCUGGUCUGUAACUGACGCUGAGGCUCGAAAGCGUGGGGAGCAAACAGGAUUAGAUACCCUGGUAGUCCACGCCGUAAACGAUGAGUGCUAAGUGUUGGAGGGUUUCCGCCCUUCAGUGCUGCAGCUAACGCAUUAAGCACUCCGCCUGGGGAGUACGACCGCAAGGUUGAAACUCAAAGGAAUUGACGGGGGCCCGCACAAGCGGUGGAGCAUGUGGUUUAAUUCGAAGCAACGCGAAGAACCUUACCAGGUCUUGACAUCCUUUGACCACUCUAGAGAUAGAGCUUCCCCUUCGGGGGCAAAGUGACAGGUGGUGCAUGGUUGUCGUCAGCUCGUGUCGUGAGAUGUUGGGUUAAGUCCCGCAACGAGCGCAACCCUUAUUGUUAGUUGCCAUCAUUUAGUUGGGCACUCUAGCAGGACUGCCGGUGACAAACCGGAGGAAGGUGGGGAUGACGUCAAAUCAUCAUGCCCCUUAUGACCUGGGCUACACACGUGCUACAAUGGGAAGUACAACGAGUCGCAAAGUCGCGAGGCUAAGCUAAUCUCUUAAAGCUUCUCUCAGUUCGGAUUGUAGGCUGCAACUCGCCUACAUGAAGCCGGAAUCGCUAGUAAUCGCGGAUCAGCACGCCGCGGUGAAUACGUUCCCGGGCCUUGUACACACCGCCCGUCACACCACGAGAGUUUGUAACACCCGAAGUCGGUGAGGUAACCUUUUGGAGCCAGCCGCCUAAGGUGGGAUAGAUGAUUGGGGUG